GACGAACGCUGGCGGCGUGCUUAACACAUGCAAGUCGAACGGAAAGGCCCUGCUUUUGUGGGGUGCUCGAGUGGCGAACGGGUGCGUAACACGUGAGUAACCUGCCCUUCACUUUGGGAUAACUUCAGGAAACUGGGGCUAAUACCGGAUAGGAUCUCCUGCUGCAUUGUGGGCGUUGGAACGUUUCGGCUGUUGGGGAUGGACUCGCGGCUUAUCAGCUUGUUGGUUGGGUAGUGGCUUACCAAGGCUUUGACGGGUAGCCGGCCUGAGAGGGUGACCGGGGACAAUGGGACUGAGAGACGGAGCAGAGGGCUAUGGGAGGCAGCAGGGGGGAAUAUGGCACAAUGGGAGGAAGCGGGAGGAAGAAACGCUGCGUUCGGGAUGACGGUCUGCGGGUUGUGAACAGCAUUAGCUUGUGACGAAGCGGGAGUGACGGUAAUGGGUAAAGAAGCACCGGCUAACUACGUG
RNAcentral lists this ribosomal RNA (468 nucleotides) under uncultured bacterium. Its description in RNAcentral is "partial 16S ribosomal RNA". It matches the Rfam family "Bacterial small subunit ribosomal RNA", at positions 28 to 507 of the family's 1533-position model. The record is from RNAcentral.